Molecule: long non-coding RNA, 627 nt
Organism: Peromyscus leucopus (white-footed mouse)
Lineage: Eukaryota; Metazoa; Chordata; Mammalia; Rodentia; Cricetidae
Exons: 2
Source: RefSeq, a predicted model, not a curated record
ACUAGCAGAGAAGAGAAUUCUGGGAAGUGGAAGGCUGAGUCAGAGAAGACACUGCCAGACGCCAGCGGCCGCCAUGACAAGGGAGAUAGAAGAUACUGGUAAGCCGCGAGCCACCGUAGCAAGAUUCAUCCUUCAAUCUGCUACAAUAUGAUGUUUUGACUGAAACACAUCAUGAAAAAUCCAGCCACAAACAACUACAAACCCUCUGAAAGAUUUUCAGAAGCCUCCAGGUGUCUUCAGAAGAUUCUCUGAGAAUCACUACUUCAAAAUAAAUAGUCUAAGGUAUAUGUACAGUAUGGUAUAAAGUUUCAGAGGUUAAGAGGUUUCAGAGGUCCUGAGCUCUAUUCCCAUCAACAUGGAGGCUCACAAUCAACUACACUGAGAACAUUGUAUACAUAAUAAAUAAAUCUUUUUUAAAAAAUUAUGGAAAGUGAAACUGCCAGGCCAUAAAGAUAUAUAUUACAUAAUAUAUAUGUAUCUUUCAUUCUAUUACAUAUUAGGUUUUCUCCAAAGUUGUUGCCCCCUUCUACAUCUCCACAAGCAGCAUACAACAACGUCUAGCAUUGUUAUACUUUUAAAAUGCUGCCUGUUUGGUGACAGUUUUGAUUAAAAGUGAUACUGCACUGA